UCUCAUCUUGGUUGUUUAUAAAUGAAAUGUUAAAAUGAAAGAUUAUGGGAAGAAUUAGACUCCUGUUAUUUCAUGUGAUGAACUCAUUUCUUGGCAGAGUUACACUGGAUGAGUUAAGAUGUAACUGAAAAUAUGCUUCCCUCCUGAAACUUGGAAUCUUGCUUUUAAUUAUCAUUGAAAUGUCACCAGAGAUACAUUUAAACAGUUUUUGAUAAGACAUGGACUAACAAACCGAAUCCAACUGCUACAGGGACAUUUUUUAAUUUCACAGGUGGUUGAAAUAUAUACUGCGGCAGUAUAAAGGAGAAAAUGCAGCAGGAGCUACCCGUGAUAGGAGUCAAUACCUCUGUGAACAAGGAGAAGCACUACUAUCUUGGUUGAAAACACUCUUAUUCGUAACAAAACCGAAAGCUCCUGUGUCUGAUCUUUUAAUAGACUUUCAAGGACACAUUUUCAACAGGUAUGGGAAACCAGAAUACGCUACACCCAAAUGUGCCUCUUUGGCAGAAGUCUGAUUGGGCUGAAGGAAUUAAGAACAAGCAGAAGCAGGAAGGCUCUUUGCCCUCUCUCUAUUUGCCUAAAAUUGGGAUGUAAAUUUACAAAGACAAAAGCUAUUUCACCUCCCCUCUCUGAAAGAACAAAGGUUAACCACUGAAGAGAGUUUUUCACCCUUACGGGCCGGAAGAUGGCACCAGAGGAAACUACGUUAGCAAGCUUUGCAAACCAGCCUUUCUCUGCCAGUUAUUUUCCUUCCCCCACCUUGUGGCCCCUAGAGAUACAAAGUCUUUUUAUUUUUUAUUUUUUUUGUCUUGUCACUUCUCUAAGCAUUGACUGUUCUUUGUAGAAGAUCCCACAUAAGUUGGAAUUCAAGCCACCUCUUUGAAAAUUACUCAUUCCCUAGGUAUCUUCCAUGCGUGUAUUAAAUAAACAUAUUAAUAAACUUCUGUUUGUUUUUCUCUUUUUAAAGUGUCUUUUGCUAUGGGGUCCAUUCCAACUUAAAACUUAUCAGGGUUGAGAUAAUAAUUAUUCUUCUUCCCCUACACUGGUUAUUAAAUGUUGCCACCACACUAGCACCUACAAAGGAUAGUUGGGUUUUAGAAAUGCUGGACCAUGGACAGGUAGAAUCAAGUGAAAUAAUAAUGUGCUGCCCUUAAUGAAGCUGUUGUCUGUCAAUAGUUGAUAACACCGAAUUCACUUCAUAAGGGUAGAGAGGAAGAAAACAAUGUUUGCAGGAGAUUGUGAACAAGGAAGGAACACAUUUCAGAUAAGGGUAAUCAUAGCUGGGCUCCUUAAAAUGGCAAUUAUAAACAUGUCCCUAUUAUUUCAAAGGUAGGCCAAUGACUGAUGGUUACAGAAACAUGAGCUACCAAAACAGACCAUCAGAAACCAAAAGAAAAAAUAUGUGAACAAAACAGCUUUUUAGGAAGAAAAUACAUUAAAUCAAAUUCUUGGCAUUUUGAAUAUGCAAGAAAAUUAAAUAUACAAGUCAUACUGAAAACUGUCAGUCCUUUUUGUGCAUAGCUUGAUGACUACCAGGCAAACCAUUUUCCCUAAUUGAGAUUUAAGAAAAAUAGACGAGUUUAACUCUAGUGCAAAAUAAAAUGACUUAACUGACAAUGUGAGAGGCUAACUGAAGAAAUAAGAAAUAUUUAGAAAGAAGAGAGAUAUACCAGGAUUUCAUAGAUUACAUGAGAAGAAGCAGACUAAAGGGAACAUUUCAUUGUAUAUUAUUUCUCUCUAUAUAUGUCUAUCAAAAGUAGGCAUUUCAAAAAAUCAAAAAAUUAUUUGAAGGUACAAGCCACUUUAUUGACAAAAUUACCUUUUGCACUAUAAUUUAACUUUCUUAAACUUUUGACCUUGUUUCUUGACCUUUGUACAUUUUCCUUUUCUUUUUUAAAUUAUGUGGCUCCUUUGAGUCAUCCAUUUCCUCUUUCCUCUGGAAAGGGAAGAGUCAUGGAUUCCAACCUUUCUGCUAGAAGCUACGAAGAAUUAAUUGCCAUGUAGGUUUCCUUGGAAGACGUCAGAUAAUCUUUACCUGGGUUUCAUGCACAAUCAUUUCUUUAACAAGACUGAGCAUUAGUCAUACCUAUAAAUUAAUUCUCCCUCUUGGUCUAAAACUAACAUCUGAAAAUACUGUACUUUUCCUUCACAUCAAAUAUGGCCUAAGUAGCCUUUUCAUUUUAUUUUUCCAGAAAGCUUUCCCAGUAAAAAGACAGACCCGAGGGUAUUUUCUCAUCUUGUUGCAGAGAGUGAUGGUACAGAAUGUGCAUAAUGCCCACGCAGGAAAGUUAAUAAUAUUCUACAAGCAGUCUAUUUUUAGAUUAAUAGAGCCAGUUUACGCAAAGCAAAUCUGUACUGCAGAAAGAAGAGCGUUAAAUAUUUGAAAAAAUUCUGGAUAAACUUUAAGAAAAAAGGAAACAUUUUCUUUUCCUACAUUGGGUCUAACAUAAUUAAAUGAAUUCAAAGGCUUAGCCACUUUUGCAAAGGCUUAAUUGCUUGUAUUGAUCGUGACCUAAAUUUGCUUCUGCACAGUUUAUAGAGCUACAUUUGGCACUGGAACCAAAACCCCUUGGGACGAAAAGCCAUAGCCAUCCUGACAUUACCAAAUGGUAGAAUAAUUAUUUACAUUUAUUAACAUGGAGAUAAAGAUCAUUUUGUUGGUUGACCAGAUAACUAGGUCUUUCCUGGCUAAUGCUGCAUUAAAAUACAUAGUCUCAACAGUCAAGAAUUCUCCUAGUGGGCUUUGGUAGACCAUAAUUUUAGUUAACUCAGAGAAGAAAAAUCCCUCAGUGUAAACACUGGGUCAUUAUUUUAAAUCUAUUCAAUAAAUCGGUAUCGUACAUAACCCUCACAGACAUGCCGAUUUCGUUCAAUGGUAUUUCUAAUCACCGAUAAGCCUAUAUAGAGAGUAAACACACUACCCAGGAUCCUACUACUUGGAUAAAAAGCCAACAUCACCCUGCCUUUCCUUCUUUUAAGAUAAAAGGGAAAUCAAUGAGUUUUUAUUUUUAUUUUUUAGGAGUGCAAUCUACUUAUUUUGCCAUACUAAACUAAAGUUCUGGGAUCCCCUGAUACUUGUGCAAGUUACCGCAUACACAUCUCUGAUGGAUGAAGGAAUGUUUCUUCCAUUCUAAGCACCCUGCAAAAGCCAUUUAUAUUCUGAGGCCUGAACUAUAUGCACCUAGUGUCCUGCACUGUCACUCAGAGAUUCUUUCUCUUCUUCCAACUACUCCCUGACUCCUUUGAUGUUCUAUGAACACUUUAAUACGUUAGAGAUCACUUAAUGCAGUUGAUUUUAAUGAUCUGCACACAUCCCUGUCUUCCCACUAGACUGGAUACUUUCCUAGUUAUCUUUUCCUCAUUCAUCUUUUUAUUCCCAGGGCCCUCGACAGUGUCUGUUAAAUACUAUUUACCUUAAUAUUUAGUAAAUUUGCAAAAGGUGUGAGUGAAUGCUCCUUUUUUCUAAUAUUUUAUUUUUAAAAUUAGCUUUAAUAUUAAAUACAAUAAGACAAGAAUAAAAUUUGGUUUCUAUUUUAAACAAGAUUUUCAUGAAGUAUUUGAGGUUUUUUUUUUUUAACUUUUAUUUCAGGUUCAGGGGUCCACGUGCAGGUUUCUUACGUAGGUAAACUUGCGUCAUGGGGGUUUGUUGUACAGAUUAUUUCACCACCCAGGUACCCAAUAGUUAUUGUUUCUGAUCCUCUCUCUCCUCCAACCCUCGACUCCCAAGUAGGCCCCAGUGUCUUUCAUUCGCCUCUGUAUUUAUCCAUGUGUUUUCAUCGUUUAGCUCCCACUUAUAAGUGAGAACAUGAGGUAUUUCAUUUUCUGAUCCUGUGUUAGUUUGCUAAUGGCCUUUGGCUCCAUCCAUGUUCCUGUAAAGGACUUGAUUUCUUUCUUUUUUAUAGCUGCAUAGUAUUCCAUGGUGUACAUGUACCACAUUUUGGACAUUUGAUGGACAUUUAGGUUGAUUUCAUUUAGGUUGAAUGCCAUUGAGGGACAUUUAGGUUGAUUUCAUGUCUUUGCAAUUGUGAAUAGUGCUGCAAUGAACGUUUGCAUGCGUGGGUCUUUAUGGUAGAACGAUUUGUAUUCCAUUGGGUAUACACUAGCAAUGGGAUUGCUGGAACAAAUGGUAGUUCUGUUUUUAGCUCUUUAAGGAAUCAUCACACUGCUUUUCACAAUGAUUGAACUAGUUUACACUCCCAGCAACAGUGUAUUAGCAUUCCCUUUUCUCUGCAACCUCGCCAGCAUUUGUUUUUUGACUUUUUAAUAAUAGCCAUUCUGACCAGUGUGAGAUAGUAUCUCUUUAUGGUUUUGAUUUGCAUUUCUUUAAUGAUCAGUGAUAUUGAGUUUUUUUCAUCUGCUUAUUGGCCUCAUGUAUGUCCUCUUUUGAAAAGUGUCUGUUCCUGUCACUUGCCCACUUUUUAAUGGUGGUGUUUUUUCUUGUAAAUUUGUUUAAGUUCCGUAUAGAUGCUGGAUUUUAGACCUUUUUCGGAUGCAUAGUUUCCAAAUAUUUUCUCCCAUUCUGUAGGUUGUCUGUUUACUCUUUUGACAGUUUCUUUUGCAGUGCAGAAGCUGUUAAGUUUAAUUAGAUCUCAUUUGUCAACUUCUGCUUUUGUUGAGAUUGCUUUUAGCAUCUUUGUCAUCAAUCUCUGCUAGUUCCUAUAUCCAGAAUGGUAUUGCUAGGUUGUCUUCCAUGGUUUUUAUAGUUUUGGCUUUUACAUUUAAGUCUUUAACCUGUCUUUCAUUGAUUUUUGUACAUGGUGUGAGGAAGGGGUCAAUAUUCAAUCUUCUGCAUAUGGCUAACCAGUUAUCCCAACGCCAUUUGUUAAAUAAGUAAUCUUUUCCCCAUUGUUUGUUUUUAUCAUCUUUGUCAAAGAUCAGAUGGUUAUAGAUGUGUGGUCUUAUUUCUGGGCUGUCUAUUCUAUUCCAUUGGUCUAUGUGUCUUUUUUUGUACCAGUACCAUACUGUUUUGGUUACUGUAGCCCUGUGUACCAUUUGAAGUCAGGUAAUGUGAUGCGUCCAGCUUUGUUCUUUUUGCUUAGGAUUGCCUUGGCUACUCAGGGUCUUUUUUGGUCAACAUGGAUUUUAAAAUAGUUUCUGUGAAGAAUGUCAUUGGUAGUUUAAUAGGAAUAGUAUUGAAUCUGUAAAUUGCUUUGGUCAGUAUGGCCAUUUUAAUGAUAUUGAUUCUUCCUAUCCACAAGCAUGGGAUGUUUUUCCAUUUGUUUGUGUCUUCUGAUUUCUUUCACCAGUGUCUUGUAUUUCUCAUUGUAUCACUCACACCUCGCUGAUUAGCUAGGUAUUGUCUUUCUUUGGUGGCAAUUGUAAAUGAGAUUGUGUUCCUGAUUUGGCUCUUGGCUUGACUGUUGUUGGUAUAUAAAAUGUUAGUGAUUUUUGUACGUUGAUUUUGCAUCCUGAAAUUUUGCUGAAAUUGUUUAUCAGCUUAAAGAGCUUUUGGGUCAAAAGUAUGAAGUUUUCUACAUAUAGAACCAUUUCAUCGGCAAACAGAGAUAGUUUGGCUUCUUCUCUUCCUAUCUGGAUGCCCUUUAUUUCUCUUGUCUGAUUGUUCUGGCCAGGACUUCCAAUACUAUGUUGAAUAGGAGUGGUGAGACAGAGCAUCCUUGUCUUGUGCCAGUUUUCAAGAAGAAUGUUUCCAGCUUUUGCCCAGUGAACGCUCCUUUAAACGUUCCAAGAUAUUGAUCCCCCAAAAUUUGUAUUUAAAGUGUUAAUUUUCUCUUUGAAGUGUCUUAAUAUUUUAUACAUAGAUUUUAAGUACUGAAAUAUUAAGAACUAAAACAUUUUCUACAGAAACUUGCCUUUUCAAUUCUUAGUACAUUAAUAUUGUGUGUAUAAAUGCAAAUUUAUAAAUUCAGUUAGAUGAAAAGCAGAGUAUGAUUAGUAUCAUCCAUUUUCUGUAUUGUUGCUGUGAGAUCUGGGCUAUUUCUAUGCAAAGUUAUCUUAUUGAAAAUUUGACUAAAGAAAGUAAUGUGGGUUGUUAAAUAAUAUUUUAAAUUAAAUUGUCAGCUGGGCGUGGUGGCUCAUGCCUGUAAUCUCAGCAAUUUGGGAGGCUGAGGUAGGUGGAUCGCCUGAGGUCAGGAGUUUGAGAUCAGCCUGGUCAAAUGGUGAAACUCUGUCUCUAUUAAAAAUACAAAAAUUAGCCAGGUGUGGUGGUGUGCACCUGUAAUCCCAGCUAUUUGGAAGUCUGAGGCACGAGAAUUACUUGAACCCUGGGAGGCAGAGGUUGCAAUGAGCAGAGAUCGUGCCACUGCACUCCAGCCUAGGAGACAGAGUGAGACCCUGUCUCAAAACAAAAACAAAAACAAAACAAACCCAUUAAAUUGUCAAUUUAAUUUUAUUGUUUUAAGAAAAAAUUCUAUAACAAAUUUAAAUCAAAAGGACAUUGGCAUCUGAUUAUCUUUCCCUCCUUGUUUUUGGUGAUAAAAUUUCAAAAAUUUAUGUUACCAAUUUUUGUAUUUCCGUGCUCUAAUUGGUUUCAUCUUAAAACUCUGUCAUUACUUUUCUUUUAUCUCUAUUUAUUUGAUAAUUCAGUCGUUCUAGAAUCCACUCAUUUAUUCAAUUUCAAAUAUUUACUGAAAAUAUGUUAGGCAAUAUUAUUUUUUAAAAUUUAUUUUAAGUUCCGGGAUACAUGUGCAGAAUGUGCAGGUUUGUUAUAUAGGUAUACGUUGUGCCAUGGUGGCUUGCUGCACCUAUCAACCCGUCAUCUUAAGCCUUGCAUGCAUUAGGUAUUUGUCCUAAUCCUCUCCCUCCCCUUGCCCCUCACACCCCGACAAGGCCCAGUGUGUGUUGUUUCCCUCUCUGUGUCUAUGUGUUCUCAUUGUUCAACUUCCACUUAUGAGUGAGAACAUGUAGUGUUUGGUUUUCUGUUCCUGUGUUAGCUUGCUGAGGGUGAUGGUUUCCAGCUUCAUCCAUGUCCCCGCAAAGGACACGAACUCAUUCUUUCUUAAGGCUGCAUAGUAUUCCAUGGUGUAGGUGCGCCACAUUUCCUUUAUCCAGCCAGUCAUUGACGGGCAUUUGGAUUGGUUCCAAGUCUUUGCCAUUGUAGAUAGUGCUGCAAUAAACAUACGUGUGCAUGUGUCUUUAUAGUAGAAUGGUUUACUCAUUCAUAUAAGCUAUUUCAUAUUCUCUUUGCAACAUGCAAAGCGUCACAUAAAGUCAUUGACAGAUUAAAUUAAAUCAAAUAAAUUUACCCAGAAGACCUUUUACUCACUGGAUUUCUUUACUGGAGAUAUUUUUGAAUGAUGUUGUCAUCAAUGUUUUAUUAUUUUGUAUUUAAUCAUAUUCAAAGUUCAUCUGUCUCACUGUAAAAACUCUUAAAAAUGAUAAUUACUUUUUUAUGUUCUUUUCUGAUUUGUACGAUAAUGAAUGCUGUAAACAUCUAAGAAUACCAUCAGAAAUAAGAAUUUCAAUUUUGAUGAACAUCAUCUCCAUAAAAUGAAUGCUUUAUAACUAGGGCCUGCUUGUUACCAAUGAGUAUGUAUUAUACAUAUAAAGAUAAUGGAAUAAUAUUUUUUCUUGGUAAUUUCCAAUUGUUGUUGAUGUGAUUUUUAUUUUUAUUUCAUUAGGUCCUUCCCAGAUGUUGCAACUUUUUAUUUUCUUUCUGUUUUGAUUACUGGAGACUAUUAUAUAAGAACAGUUGUAGCUUAAAAGUAUAAGUCUUAAUAAAACUAUAUCAUAUUUGGGUUUAGAAAUUUUAACUUGCACAACCAACAGGUCAUCUAAGAAGUGAGCAUUGAAACUACAAAGCUCUGAUGAGAAAAAUCAAAGAAGGUCUAAAUAAACUGAAGACAUAUUAAGAGGGACUCAACAUUCUUAAGAUGCCAGUUUCCCCAGCUCAAUCAACAGAUUCAAUGCAAUCCCAAUCAAAAUCCUAGAAAAUUACUAUACAGAUAUAAACAACCAAUUCCUAAGUUUAUAUGGAAAGACAAAAGAACCAGAACGGUCAACAAAAUAUUAAAGAAGAAGGAAGUCAGAGGACUGACACUAUCCGACUAAAAACGUACUGUGAAACUACAAUGAUUAAGACAGUACAGUAUUCAUGAAUGAAUACACAAUACAUCAAUAGAACAGAAUAGAGAGCCCAGAAACUUACCCACACAAAUACAAUCAACUGAUUUUUGACAAGGAAGCAAAGGCAAUUCAAUGGAGAAAAGAUAGACUGGACCUCCACAUGGAAAAAAUGAAUCUAGACACAGACCUUAGAAGCAACAGGCGCUCCCAUACAUUGUUGAUGGGAAUAUAAAAUGGUACAGUCACUUUAGAAGACAGCCUAGCAGUUUUAUGCAAACCUUAUCAAAGGCUUGUGAUAACAUACAGCAAUCAUACUCCUAGGUAUUUACUCAAGUGAGUUACAAGCUUAUGUCCACACAAAAACCUGCACACGAAAGCUACAAGCAACCAAGAUAUCCUUUAAUAGAUGAAGGAAUAAACAAACUGUGAUAUAUUCAUGCAAGGAGAUAUUAUUCAGUAAUGUGAAAAAAAGAGCUAUCAAGCUACUAAAAGACAUGGAGGAAGUUGAAAUACAUAUUAUGAAGUGGAAGAAGGAAGUCUUAAUAAGCUACAUGGUAUAUAAUUUCAACUAUAUGAUGUUCUGGAAAAGGCAAAACUAUAGAUACAAUGAAUUGAUCAGUGGUUGCCAGGGGUUCAGAAGGUUCAGGGGAAAGGAUAAAUGGUUGAAGUACAAGAAAACUUUAGAGCAUUGAAACUUUGAAACUAUUCUGUAUGAUAAUACGAUGGUAGAUGCAUGACAUUAUACACUCGUCAAAAUCCACAGGGUAUAGAACACAAAGAGAACUCUAAUGUAACUAUGAACUUUAGUGAAUAUUUAUGUAUUAAUAUUAGCUCAUCAAUUGUAACAAACGUACCUUACUAAUGCAAGAUACUAAUAAUGGGAGAAAUUGUGUGCAGAAAGGAAGGGAUUAUAUGGGAACUUUGUACUUUCUAUACAACUUUUCUGUAAAUCUAAAACUUCUCUAAAAACAAAGUCUAUUUUUAAAAGUAUAUAGUUUUGCUUGCUUAACCCGUUAUGAUUUUCCAAUGAGUUCUUGUGUCUAGGUUUGGAGCUAUGAAUAAAUGGCAGUCAGUUUUCUGUCCACAUAAGUUCCAAGGACUAUAAUAUAGUUUUUUUCUCUUUAAAAUACAAGUAAAGUUUUAAAUAUUUUUCCAGAAAUACAACUCAGUUACUCUUCAAGUUUGAAAAGUUAUUUUCAUUUUGAAAUAUUUCCAAGUAUAAUAAUCUUAUGUGAAAUACAUUAAAUAAGAAACUCAUGGCUUAAAGGAGUCUUUUCAUUAAUCCCUUAAUUUAGAAAGAGAAAGUAUCUAGAAAGACUUCACUUCACAUAAACCCUCUUACCAAAAGUUGCAAAAAUUUUUUUCAUUCAUGGACGUAUACCUGAAAUUGAUUUUUUUCCUUUAAACAAUCAUUUUGCUACAUCUAGCACAUCAAGAUAUGUUUGCCAUAACGACAGAUGAAAAUGACAUUUUUCUCUUCAGGUUUACAUUGAUUUUGUUUCUACACAUUUCACAACUGCAUCAUGAAUUUUUUGAUUACUCUAUAAGUAUAAGCAUAUUUCUAAAUGUUCCUUUAACCUAGUAAUUCAUACCAAAGACUUCUUUAUAUACAUUUUCCUUUACAUAGAGCCUAAAUACUAAAUGAUGAAAACCACAGAUAUGCUAUUAAUUAGAAGUCUGCCAGUCCUCUAUAGUACUUCCAUAAGAUUUAAUUAUAACUCAAAAAUAUAUCUACUCUUUCCAUUCGCAAUACAUUAUCCAAGCUGUGACUAUCUCUUUCAUGGGCAACUGUAAUUCCCUCCUAACUGUUCUGUUUUCAUUUUUUCUCCUUUCUAGUCCAUUCUCUCCAGAGUGGCCAUAGUGAUCUCACCUAAGCACAAUCUGAUCCAUCACAUUUGUGUCAAAAUCCUCCGAAGGCUCUAAGCAUACAGUUUACUCUUUUCUCCCCUCCUCUGUGGCUAAUUGUCCCCCAUUCUUCAGGAUUCAGCUUCAAUGUAACUCCUUAGGGAGGCACAUUCUAAGCCUCUGUAGUGUAGGUCAGGACACCUCUUGCAGUCUCAGGAUGCGGUGCAUCCUCUAGAGCACUUGUCCAACUGCAAUGACUCAGUGAUUUGUGUAAUUACACAUUUGCUGUUCAUUUCUUCUAAUGGAAUGAGAGUUCCAUGGGUGCACACAAUGUAUAUCUGUCCUCCAAACCUACCACAGGGCCCACCACAUAUAUGCCCAAUAAUUAUUUCUUAAAUAACUAAACUAACACCAAGAGAACCCUGAAGCAACACUAGGACUCAUAGUAAAGAUAUGACAAAGGGGAAGGUGUAUUCAAAUUUAGAUAAUAUAAUUAACAUAAUGAAGAAAUGACUUCAUCAAUAUAGUUGGUGUGGCACAUCCUUUUUCUCCUGAUCAUAAAAAACGCCCUUAUUUAUAACAUUUCUCAAGGGUAAGGGAGGAGAGUCCUAUUUCUCAUGAUACCUCUCCUUUUAUCCUCAGAAAAGCAUUUAAAUAAAAAACACAAAACCAUUGUCUGAAUUUCUGUUCUGCUUUAAAGUGCCUGAUGAGCCAGUUGAGUAAAAGAAAGUAGAAUGGCUUAUGAUAGAACAAUGAUGGCUUGUCAAUGCACACCUUUCAAAGAAAGAAUGAGACUAUCAUAAGCAUGUCAUUUGAUAACGACUGCAACUCAUCCUUCCUCCCCAAGCAGCCAGCACUUAGAAAUAGUAAUACAAUAAAUUUAAUUUAACCCUAAAAGCAAAGCUAUUAUUGGAACGUACUUAUCCUGUAACCCCAACUAACUUGAAGUUCCCCUCUACCCUGCUCCGAAAGGUAUGCCGCCAAACACAAUUUUAUCAGCCUUUGUAAAUGUAACCUCUUUUGAUCUUUCCUAUUUCUAUGACAGUAUAACAAUAUUAUGUGCCCCUGAGAGGGAUUAACAUUAAAGUCAAGAAGAAGCAGCCAAGUGAAGAUCUAGAGGAAGCAAAUUCCAGGCAAAUAAAAGAAUAAAUGUUCCCUAAGGUAGGGCAAUGGAACCAAAUGAGGCCAAUGUGGAUCUGCAGACUAGAGGUGAGGUUAGAGCUGUAAGGAGAUGCCAAAUCAUGAGCUUUGUAGGCUCGGGGGGAAUUUAGGAUAUGUUCUGGAUACAGGGUUGACAGAAGUUGUUCACGUUGGAAGAGAGGCAAAGACAGGAAUUACCUUCUCAUUGAAGAAAGGUACUGAUAAUCCAAAUUCCAGAAAAAGACAUCUUAAUCCACUUAAUCUUGAAGGGUAUUGCAAAACUACAUAAUAUAGUAGAUUUUCAUACCUUUCUUUAUGGACAUUCACUUUAAGUUUCUAAUGUUUGUCAUUUGCGCAGGCUACUGCCUGCAUUGAUGAGUCAGCCACUGAAUAGAACUAGAAUUCAGUGUUAUCAAGUGCAUUGGUAUAGUCCAUGAGAUUUGUUAAGGACUCAAAUGCUAGGACAAUAAGUCUUCUCAGGAGCAUGCUGCAGAGAAGAGACUCAGCUGGACGUGGGCCUGGCCUGGAUUUCAGUACUGAUACACGGCCAGCUCUGGCUAGAAUUCAUAUUUGAUCUCAUUUUUUAUAUGUUUACCUUAUAUAUUCCAAAUUUUGCAUAGAUUAUUGAAACUAGGUCAAAAGUAAAAUCAUCAGUUAAUAAUUUAUGACACUUCUGCAAUUUGUCCCAUCCAAAUAGAACGGCCUAGAGAAACUCUGUGGCUGUAUGAAAGUUGAGCCAACAUCACAACUCUGUGAAACUGCCCAAAAACAACAGCUUUGGGGGAAAAAAACAGUCAAAUGCUAGGCUGCCACCAAUUUCCAUCCUGGAAUCUACAAAAAGACUCAUUUAACAAUAUAAAAUGAAACAAUUUUGUAGUUUUUGGUUAGAAAAGACUUGAUUACAGAAACAAGCAUAUCUUGUAGAAUUUUAUAAAUGGAUACAUUUUUUAUGGUAUUUGGAGAAAAAUAUGACUUCUGUUAGUGUUUUAUAAAUAUUGGCUAAAAAUGAAAUAAUGAACUUGAGAAGGGAAAUCCAGAGAAAGCUAAAAGCUAGAGUUUUGCAUAUUCUCUUCUAUACUGGCACUUUGCUUUUUCUGUUUUGAAUAUAUUUUCAAUGCCCCAGUGAACUUGGUAACACUGCCAACAAUAAAAAAAAUUGUAAAGGACUUAGAUCUUUAAUAUAACGUGAAAAUCUGGAAAUUAAACAGAAUAACAGAGAUGAAGAAAUUAAUUUUCAGAUUUUUUAAAAAGAUUUUUGCUGGC
This is a long non-coding RNA of Homo sapiens (human), 12270 nucleotides long. RefSeq lists it as uncharacterized. The transcript is spliced from 2 exons. The record is from RefSeq and is a predicted model, not a curated record. Lineage: Eukaryota; Metazoa; Chordata; Mammalia; Primates; Hominidae.